This is a long non-coding RNA of Talpa occidentalis (Iberian mole), 345 nucleotides long. RefSeq lists it as uncharacterized. The transcript is spliced from 3 exons. NCBI's taxonomy places the organism in Eukaryota, Metazoa, Chordata, Mammalia, Eulipotyphla, Talpidae. The record is from RefSeq and is a predicted model, not a curated record.
ACAUGGAGGGAGCCAGCCCUGCAGCCUGAACAGGAGGCCUGAGGGGAGAGGUUAAAAUCUCAGCUGCCCAGAGAGAUGAUUACGGAGCCGCUCCCAAAUUAAGCUGCUUCACUGCUGAAAGCAAGACAAUGUACAUAAAUCACUGCAGAUGUCACAAAGAAGGUUGGGACUGAGGACUGAGAGAGUAUAAAGGAGGAAGAGAUUAUUUCUGGCUGGGGGAUCAGCACCAGCCCAUUUUCAGGCCAUGCACUGAGCCACAAUAAUACCAGCGUAUCUCAGUGGCAUAAGGAGCCGGGGAAGGAGUUGGGCCUUGCCUCCCGAAGGAUUCUGGUCAUGUAUCUGUGC